GACUGAAAACCCCUUCCACCUGAAGUCUGUGGAUAGUUAAUACAAUGUUAAACAAAGAUUUUUGUUUAACAUUGUAAUAACUAUCCACAGACUUCAGGUGGAAGGGGUUU
This is a non-coding RNA of Pelobates cultripes (western spadefoot toad), 110 nucleotides long. The record is from the annotation of a GenBank genome assembly. NCBI's taxonomy places the organism in Eukaryota, Metazoa, Chordata, Amphibia, Anura, Pelobatidae.